CAGUCGAACGGAAUCUUUAGGGAUUUAGUGGCGGACGGGUGAGUAACGCGUAAGAAUCUACCUUCAGGUCGGGGACAACCACUGGAAACGGUGGCUAAUACCGGAUGUGCCGAGAGGUGAAAGGCUUGCUGCCUGAAGAAGAGCUUGCGUCUGAUUAGCUAGUUGGUGGUGUAAGGGACUACCAAGGCGACGAUCAGUAGCUGGUCUGAGAGGAUGAUCAGCCACACUGGGACUGAGACACGGCCCAGACUCCUACGGGAGGCAGCAGUGGGGAAUUUUCCGCAAUGGGCGAAAGCCUGACGGAGCAAUACCGCGUGAGGGAGGAAGGCUCUUGGGUUGUAAACCUCUUUUCUCAGGGAAGAACAGAAUGACGGUACCUGAGGAAUAAGCAUCGGCUAACUCCGUGCCAGCAGCCGCGGUAAUACGGAGGAUGCAAGCGUUAUCCGGAAUGAUUGGGCGUAAAGGGUCCGCAGGUGGCAUUGAAAGUCUGCUGUUAAAGAGUUUGGCUCAACCAAAUAAGAGCAGUGGAAACUACAAAGCUAGAGUUUGGUCGGGGCAGAGGGAAUUCCUGGUGUAGCGGUGAAAUGCGUAGAUAUCAGGAAGAACACCAGUGGCGAAGGCGCUCUGCUAGGCCGAGACUGACACUGAGGGACGAAAGCUAGGGGAGCGAAUGGGAUUAGAUACCCCAGUAGUCCUAGCCGUAAACGAUGGAUACUAGGCGUAGCUCGUAUCGACCCGAGCUGUGCCGGAGCUAACGCGUUAAGUAUCCCGCCUGGGGAGUACGCAGGCAACUGUGAAACUCAAAGGAAUUGACGG
Molecule: ribosomal RNA, 816 nt
Filed under: uncultured bacterium
Lineage: Bacteria
Description: bacterial SSU rRNA
Rfam family: Bacterial small subunit ribosomal RNA
Source: RNAcentral